AAGUCGUAACAAGGUUUCCGUAGGUGAACCUGCGGAAGGAUCAUUAUCGAGUUUAAUCCAGCUUUUUCUUGCUGUGCAUUCACUUGCACGCUCGAGGAAAUUGGCUCUAAAACUUCACACACCUGUGCACCUUCGGUCUGCACUUUCCCGCUUGGGCAGAAUUUUAAAAUUUUGUCUAAGUCCGCUCCUCGGAGUGGGACUAGAGUCUUGCGGUGAAUUUAUUCAUGGCUCGCUCUGGGGAAAGUCGUCCGUUUUUUUACACCUUUUUUGUAUGUCUUUGAAAAUCUUCGAUUGCUCGUAAUGGGCGUCGUUUAAAAUAAAUACAACUUUCAGCAACGGAUCUCUUGGCUCUC
This 353-nucleotide unclassified non-coding RNA is filed under the name air metagenome. Its description in RNAcentral is "partial contains small subunit ribosomal RNA, internal transcribed spacer 1, and 5.8S ribosomal RNA". The stretch from base 1 to 46 matches the Rfam family "Eukaryotic small subunit ribosomal RNA", at positions 1786 to 1831 of the family's 1831-position model. The record is from RNAcentral.